ACGGUCGUGGGCUUGUGUCGCUUGUUUGCAAUUUCAUCAUAGCGACGUCGGACCGCGACGGCGA
Molecule: microRNA precursor, 64 nt
Filed under: Murid betaherpesvirus 1 (Murine cytomegalovirus)
Lineage: Duplodnaviria; Heunggongvirae; Peploviricota; Herviviricetes; Herpesvirales; Orthoherpesviridae
Description: microRNA mcmv-mir-M95 precursor (mcmv-mir-M95-1)
Gene: mcmv-mir-M95-1
Source: miRBase by way of RNAcentral